Molecule: long non-coding RNA, 904 nt
Organism: Nicotiana tabacum (common tobacco)
Lineage: Eukaryota; Viridiplantae; Streptophyta; Magnoliopsida; Solanales; Solanaceae
Source: RefSeq, a predicted model, not a curated record
UCGGCGUCCCGCCUUUCCCAGCCUCUGCCCACGUCCCUUACCCCAAACUCGCCGGAAAAACUCGCCAACCCGGCGAGUUAACUCAUGGUCCCUCUUUCCCUUCUCUCUUUCUUCCACGUGGCCUGACAAAUAACCGAUUUUGGUUCGAAUCCGCGUUGUAUUUUGCUCUCUCAUACGUGAAUCUCUUUCAACGGUAGAUGAUGGACGAAGGGUAGGAUAUGAUUAAUGAAAAUUAAUCAUACCCCUCCAUUUGCCCAAUUUUUUUACCAAAAAGAAGGAGAUUUUCGUAAUUUUGGUGGGAUUUUCGGAUUUUUGAAGGGUUUUUGCGAUUUCUUGCAAAGGAAGGAGAGAAGCUUCAAGAGAGGGCUAUAUAUUUGGGUCUGGACAGAGAUUUUAAGGGGGGAUUUCUCGACAGAAAAAGCUAAAAAGAUUUUAAGGACAGAGCUUUUCCAUUUUUGAGUUUCAAUUUGAGUUUUGGUAUUGAAUCGAGGUCGCUCGAGUCGUCAAUUGCUUGCCAGUUGAGGUCCGUUCGAGAUCGCGAGUUCCUCUUUCUUGGAUGCUGUUUGUCAUGGAUCUUCACUGCCAUAUUUAAGUGUAUUUGAUUGCGAUCAGAAUUAAUUAAGAGCGCUUUCAGAUUCAGGAGUCUCAGGUCAUGCAAGCAAAGGCUGAGUGCUUCCACAACAGGCUUGUUCGUAGUUGACUAAGUAGCUGCUCGGCGUUCACAGCCUAAUACUUCUCCUACCUAUCUUUAUUUUCCCUUUGUACUAGCCUUGUAUUAGACUAUGUAUUCUUUUCAUAUUUUUAGACGGAUUUUUAGAUGCUCAUGACUGGUGACACCCCGAUGUCGGGCUCUGUUGUUUCUGCAUUGUUUUAUUCUAUUCUAUAUUUUGGGAUUUAUAGCUUA